GCCGCGGGCCGGGCCCCUCUGGCGAUGCCGAUGCAUCGUGAUGUCGGACCGUAUCG
This is a non-coding RNA of Chelatococcus sp. CO-6, 56 nucleotides long. NCBI's taxonomy places the organism in Bacteria, Pseudomonadati, Pseudomonadota, Alphaproteobacteria, Hyphomicrobiales, Chelatococcaceae. The record is from Rfam.